Molecule: long non-coding RNA, 740 nt
Organism: Oryzias melastigma (Indian medaka)
Lineage: Eukaryota; Metazoa; Chordata; Actinopteri; Beloniformes; Adrianichthyidae
Exons: 2
Source: RefSeq, a predicted model, not a curated record
ACAAAAAUGGUAGAUUCUGAAUCUUUAAAAUAGUGUUCUUUAGAAAAAUGUUUUUAUAAAAUAAGGGAUGAUUCAUAAAUAUAAUAUUGUGAGUGGCCAAAAGCCCCAAAAUGGCCCAAAAACAUCAAAAUUACUCAAAACAGACUUCAGGUAAUGUAACAUAAUUUCUUUGAUUUCUAUAAUUUUUUUUAACUUUAAGGACUUAAAGGUCUCCAUAAAACACCAAGAAGAACAAUUUAAAGCAAACUUCUCCUGUCAGUUUGCUGUUUGUUUUAUUUCUAUGACGCCUGCUGGAGCAAGUGUUUGCCCAAACGCCGUCGCCCUGUCACCGGCAGCAGCAGCAUCUGCCAGGAAACAUAUCGACCCCCGCUGCUUCAGGCUCCAGAGCCACCAGCAUGAAUCUCAAUGACCUUUCUGGUGUUCACAUUUAGCUACUCGUCCUAAUUUUCAACAAGAAAACAAAAGAUGAGUCAUUUUAAACUCCUGUAUUCCUUUACUUUACUUUACUUUUAUUUUCUAACGGAACAUGUGAGCACCUGCAGAUAAAAAGAUCACCUCAGAGAAGAAGAACCUUGGCAACCUGUUGUUGUCAUUUACCAGACCGACACCACAUUGUCAGAAAUCCAGUCAACAUGUGGAGCGCUGUAAGCCACAGUGACACAUCUGUGCAAAGAACAAGACAGUCUGACAGUUUAAGGGGGGAAAACAUCUAUUUUUAUCAUAAAAUCUGUGAAAUUCAA